CGGCGGACGGGUGAGUAACACGUGGAUAACCUACCUAUAAGACUGGGAUAACUUCGGGAAACCGGAGCUAAUACCGGAUAAUAUAUUGAACCGCAUGGUUCAAUAGUGAAAGACGGUUUUGCUGUCACUUAUAGAUGGAUCCGCGCCGCAUUAGCUAGUUGGUAAGGUAACGGCUUACCAAGGCAACGACGCGUAGCCGACCUGAGAGGGUGAUCGGCCACACUGGAACUGAGACACGGUCCAGACUCCUACGGGAGGCAGCAGUC
This 266-nucleotide ribosomal RNA is filed under the name uncultured Staphylococcus sp. Its description in RNAcentral is "partial 16S ribosomal RNA". It matches the Rfam family "Bacterial small subunit ribosomal RNA", at positions 96 to 355 of the family's 1533-position model. The record is from RNAcentral. Lineage: Bacteria; Bacillati; Bacillota; Bacilli; Caryophanales; Staphylococcaceae.